AAUCAACGCUGGCGGCGUGCCUCAGACAUGCAAGUCGAACGCGAAAGUUCCCUUCGGGGGAUGAGUAGAGUGGCGCACGGGUGAGUAACACGUAGGUAAUCUACCUUCGGAUGGGGAAUAACAACCGGAAACGGUUGCGUAAUACCGCAUAAAUGCAGCGGCACCUAAUGGUGACAGUUGGUUAAAGCGGGGGAUCGAAAGACCUCGCGUCUGAAGAGGAGCCUGCGGCGGAUUAGUCAGGUUGGUAGGGUAACGGCCUACCAAGGCUACGAUCCGUAGCCGGCCUGAGAGGGCGGUCGGCCACACUGACACUGACAUACGGGUCAGACUCCUACGGGAGGCAGCAGUCGGGGAA
RNAcentral lists this ribosomal RNA (355 nucleotides) under uncultured bacterium. RNAcentral's name for it is "bacterial SSU rRNA". It matches the Rfam family "Bacterial small subunit ribosomal RNA", at positions 32 to 362 of the family's 1533-position model. The record is from RNAcentral.